RNAcentral lists this ribosomal RNA (761 nucleotides) under uncultured bacterium. Its description in RNAcentral is "bacterial SSU rRNA". It matches the Rfam family "Bacterial small subunit ribosomal RNA", at positions 28 to 776 of the family's 1533-position model. The record is from RNAcentral.
GAUGAAUGCUAGCUACCGUCUUAACACAUGCAAGUCGAGGGGCAGCAUGAAAGGAACUCCGGUUCUUUUUGAUGGCGACCGGCGCACGGGUGCGUAACGCGUAUCGAACCUGCCUCAUACUCGGGGAUAGCCUUGCGAAAGUAAGAUUAAUACCCGGCGGUCUCGGAUGGCCGCAUGACUAUCCGAGUGAAGAUUUAUCGGUAUGAGAUGGCGAUGCGUCCCAUUAGCUAGUUGGUGAGGUAAUGGCUCACCAAGGCAUCGAUGGGUAGGGGUUCUGAGAGGAAGGUCCCCCACAUUGGAACUGAGACACGGUCCAAACUCCUACGGGAGGCAGCAGUGAGGAAUAUUGGUCAAUGGACGAAAGUCUGAACCAGCCAAGUAGCGUGCAGGAUGACGGCCCUCUGGGUUGUAAACUGCUUUUAGUUGGGAAUAAAAAGAGGGACGUGUCCCUUAUUGUAUGUACCAUCAGAAAAAGGACCGGCUAAUUCCGUGCCAGCAGCCGCGGUAAUACGGAAGGUCCAGGCGUUAUCCGGAUUUAUUGGGUUUAAAGGGAGCGCAGGCGGCGGCGUAAGUCAGUUGUGAAAUCGUGCGGCUUAACCGUGCAAUUGCAGUUGAUACUGCGUCGCUUGAGUGCACACAGGGAUGUUGGAAUUCAUGGUGUAGCGGUGAAAUGCUUAGAUAUCAUGAAGAACUCCGAUCGCGAAGGCAUAUGUCCGGAGUGCAACUGACGCUGAGGCUCGAAAGUGUGGGUAUCANACAGG